RNAcentral lists this ribosomal RNA (253 nucleotides) under uncultured bacterium. Its description in RNAcentral is "partial 16S ribosomal RNA". It matches the Rfam family "Bacterial small subunit ribosomal RNA", at positions 524 to 776 of the family's 1533-position model. The record is from RNAcentral.
UACGUAGGGUGCAAGCGUUGUCCGGAAUUAUUGGGCGUAAAGAGCUCGUAGGCGGUCUGUCACGUCGGCUGUGAAAACCCGAGGCUCAACCUCGGGCCUGCAGUCGAUACGGGCAGACUAGAGUACUGCAAGGGAGACUGGAAUUCCUGGUGUAGCGGUGGAAUGCGCAGAUAUCAGGAGGAACACCGGUGGCGAAGGCGGGUCUCUGGGCAGUAACUGACGCUGAGGAGCGAAAGCGUGGGGAGCGAACAGG